This 84-nucleotide transfer RNA is filed under the name Chloroflexota bacterium. RNAcentral's name for it is "Chloroflexi bacterium tRNA-Leu". It matches the Rfam family "tRNA". From Rfam's summary of the family: Transfer RNA (tRNA) molecules are approximately 80 nucleotides in length. Their secondary structure includes four short double-helical elements and three loops (D, anti-codon, and T loops). Further hydrogen bonds mediate the characteristic L-shaped molecular structure. tRNAs have two regions of fundamental functional importance: the anti-codon, which is responsible for specific mRNA codon recognition, and the 3' end, to which the tRNAs corresponding amino acid is attached (by aminoacyl-tRNA synthetases). tRNAs cope with the degeneracy of the genetic code in two manners: having more than one tRNA (with a specific anti-codon) for a particular amino acid; and 'wobble' base-pairing, i.e. permitting non-standard base-pairing at the 3rd anti-codon position. Lineage: Bacteria; Bacillati; Chloroflexota. The record is from RNAcentral.
GGGGCGGUGGCGAAAUGGCAGACGCAGCGGACUUAAAAUCCGCCGGAGUAAAACUCCGUGUGGGUUCGACUCCCACCCGCCCUA